GGGUCACAGUUAUGAGAAGAGGGGAAAGGGAAUGAGAGGAGGGACAGAAUAAUGUGAAGAGGGGCAGAGGACUGGGGAGAGUUGCAGAGGAAUGCGAAGAGUAGCACAGUAAUGUGAAGAGUGAUAAAGUAUUGAGAAGGUUGGCAGAGAAAUUUGAAGAGGGGCAGAGGAACGAGAAGAGUGAAGAGGAAUGUGAAGAGGGGCAGAAAAAGGUGAAGAGUGGCAGAGGAAUGCGAAGAAUGGCAGAGGAAUGCGAAGAAUGGCAGAGGAAUGCCAAGAGGGGCAGAGGCAAGUGAAGAGGGGCAGAGGAAGGUGAAGAGGGUCAAGGAAUAUGAAAAUGGGCAGAGUAUUGCAAAGAGGGGCAGAGGAAUUCGAGGAAAGGCAGAGGAACGUGAAGAGUGAUAGAGGAAUGAGGAGAUUGGCAAAGGAAUUAGAAGAGUGGCCAAGGAAUGAGAAGAGGGGCAGAGGAAAGAGAAGAGUGACAGAAGAAUGUAAAUCCUUAUGUUUGAACUGUCAGUCGGAGCGUGACAGCUGCAGUAAAUUCUCUUUUGCAGUAACGUCACCUUGACUGUUGUCUUCUCUCAAGUUGUCUUCCUGAAGACACAGGUUGUUCAGUACUACACCAGGAUCUUCAUGCUGCUCUAUAGAGAACAUUCAGUCAAUUAAAUGCAUCAGAACCAAG
Pezoporus occidentalis (night parrot) is the source of this 682-nucleotide long non-coding RNA. RefSeq lists it as uncharacterized. The record is from RefSeq and is a predicted model, not a curated record. The transcript is spliced from 2 exons. Lineage: Eukaryota; Metazoa; Chordata; Aves; Psittaciformes; Psittacidae.